RNAcentral lists this ribosomal RNA (388 nucleotides) under uncultured eukaryote. RNAcentral describes it as "SSU rRNA". It matches the Rfam family "Eukaryotic small subunit ribosomal RNA", at positions 587 to 972 of the family's 1831-position model. The record is from RNAcentral.
AGCUCCAAUAGCGUAUAUUAAAGUUGUUGCAGUUAAAAAGCUCGUAGUUGGAUUUCUGGGCUGGGCGACUGGUCCGCCGCUGUGCGGUGUGUACUGUUGUUGUUCCCGGCCCAUCCUUGUAGGGAACUGCUUGGGCAUUUAUUUUGUCUUCAGGUAGGGAACUGCAUCGUUUACUGUGAAAAAAUUAGAGUGUUUAAAGCAGGCAUUUUGCUGUGAAUACAUUAGCAUGGAAUAAUAAUAUAGGACUUUGGUUCUAUUUUGUUGGUUGGAGGCCAAGGUAAUGAUUAAUAGGGACAGUUGGGGGUAUUCAUAUUUAAUUGUCAGAGGUGAAAUUCUUGGAUUUAUGAAAGAUGAACUUAUGCGAAAGCAUUUACCAAGGAUGUUUUCA